Long non-coding RNA from Gavialis gangeticus (Gharial), 920 nucleotides. RefSeq lists it as uncharacterized. The record is from RefSeq and is a predicted model, not a curated record. Lineage: Eukaryota; Metazoa; Chordata; Crocodylia; Gavialidae. The transcript is spliced from 3 exons.
GUUGUGGGUGGAAUAUGGCCAUGAAGGAAGACUUCAUAUCACCCAGGCCUUCUCCCUUGGAAGCCAGCAUGUAAGGAGCUGCUUGCGAGAGUGACAGUGCAAGCAUCAGAAGCGGGAACAACACUAAAGGUAAGUGGGAUGGUGCUGGGUAGGAAUUACAGCCGGUGAACCGUCUUCUGCAGUCCUCUUAAUUGUGAAUUAGUUCUCUCUGGUCCUCUCUCCAGGAAAUAGUGGGGCUUUUAGCUAUGUGACAAACUGCAAACCGAAUUUUAUCGCUGCGUGAGAGAGGCUGCAGUGAGAGGCAUAACUCCAUACUGUGCUCUUGCUAAACUAAGUUGGGGACUUGGAGAAAAAAAUCUACAGCACCGUUAAGAAAUAACAUCUCUUUAUCUUUUUCUUCUUCUCCAUGUUGUCACUUACCUCCUUUAACUUUCAUUGUCUGGGAUUUUUUUUUCUCCCCUCAUUGACCUAAUUCUUUCCCAUUGGCUUUCUUUAAGCUUCCCCUGAGCUUGCAAGCUUAUGGUCUUUCCAGCUGUAAUUUUAUGCUGCUUAUGAAAAUGAAGGGUAUCACAUGAAGACACCGCCCUAUUGGAAGGGUGAUAGCUCACGUUCCGAGACUCUCUAGAACUCAAGACACGUUUUUCUUCUCACUCCGUACAAAGUAUGGGAUAUCUCAAUAGAAAUAAGAGAAAGCUGCCCUUUGAUCUCAAAUGUGUUUUGUCUAUGUUCUCUUAUGCUUUUGCCCUCAAAUAAAAGGCAGGUAGGCUGUCCCCCACCUUUCCUGUUGUCCUGGAAACAUGUCUCAUCCUGGUGAACUGCAUCAGUAAGUCUCACCAGAAAGAACAUCUUCCCUUUGGGUUAAUGUUCAUGUGCAUACUGCCUUACAGGCUUUGUGCAUUUAGAAUAAUGCAUGUUUUAUG